UACGUAGGGCGCAAGCGUUAUCCGGAAUUAUUGGGCGUAAAGAGCUCGUAGGCGGUUUGUCGCGUCUUCUGUGAAAACCCGAGGCUCAACCUCGGGCCUGCAGUGGGUACGGGCAGACUAGAGUGCGGUAGGGGAGAUUGGAAUUCCUGGUGUAGCGGUGGAAUGCGCAGAUAUCAGGAGGAACACCAAUGGCGAAGGCAGAUCUCUGGGCCGUAACUGACGCUGAGGAGCGAAAGCAUGGGGAGCGAACAGG
RNAcentral lists this ribosomal RNA (253 nucleotides) under uncultured bacterium. Its description in RNAcentral is "partial 16S ribosomal RNA". It matches the Rfam family "Bacterial small subunit ribosomal RNA", at positions 524 to 776 of the family's 1533-position model. The record is from RNAcentral.